CCACGUUGAAUACGUUCCCGGGUCUUGUACACACCGCCCGUCACACCACGAAAGUUGGUAGCACCCGAAGUGCCUAUUUUACUAGGCCCUAAGGUGAGACCAGUAAUUGGGGUG
RNAcentral lists this ribosomal RNA (114 nucleotides) under uncultured bacterium. RNAcentral describes it as "partial 16S ribosomal RNA". It matches the Rfam family "Bacterial small subunit ribosomal RNA", at positions 1357 to 1482 of the family's 1533-position model. The record is from RNAcentral.